Molecule: non-coding RNA, 30 nt
Filed under: Bombyx mori (domestic silkworm)
Lineage: Eukaryota; Metazoa; Arthropoda; Insecta; Lepidoptera; Bombycidae
Also listed under: 1 other name
Source: RNAcentral
UAGACGCACAAACACUUCCAACUACUCCGC